UACGAAGGGGGCUAGCGUUGCUCGGAAUCACUGGGCGUAAAGCGCACGUAGGCGGAUUGUUAAGUCAGGGGUGAAAUCCUGGAGCUCAACUCCAGAACUGCCUUUGAUACUGGCGAUCUCGAGUCCGGGAGAGGUGAGUGGAACUGCGAGUGUAGAGGUGAAAUUCGUAGAUAUUCGCAAGAACACCAGUGGCGAAGGCGGCUCACUGGCCCGUAACUGACGCUGAGGCACGAAAGCGUGGGGAGCAAACAGG
This 253-nucleotide ribosomal RNA is filed under the name uncultured bacterium. Its description in RNAcentral is "partial 16S ribosomal RNA". It matches the Rfam family "Bacterial small subunit ribosomal RNA", at positions 524 to 776 of the family's 1533-position model. The record is from RNAcentral.